AUGGGAAGCUCGGCUUCGGCUUCGGGAGAAGCCUUGAGCAAGACAGAGAAGAUGAUGAAGGAGCUAGGUCUCAAUGAAAACAAUCUGCGGGACGUGGUUGUUGAAGAUGGAGAUAUCCCAGAUGAGGCUGCAAGGUGGAUGGCGAUUGCACGAGUCCACACGACCAAAUCUUAUUCCCAGUAUUGGUUUUACAGAAACAUGAGGGUCGCUUGGGAUCUGGCGCAGGAGGUAAAAUUUCGGCCAUUGGAGGAUAACCUCUAUACCCUUCAAUUUUCAUGCCUUGGGGAUUGGGAG
RNAcentral lists this ribosomal RNA (294 nucleotides) under Triticum aestivum (bread wheat). RNAcentral describes it as "partial small subunit ribosomal RNA". Lineage: Eukaryota; Viridiplantae; Streptophyta; Magnoliopsida; Poales; Poaceae. The record is from RNAcentral.